This 600-nucleotide ribosomal RNA is filed under the name Gordonia terrae. RNAcentral's name for it is "bacterial SSU rRNA". It matches the Rfam family "Bacterial small subunit ribosomal RNA", at positions 134 to 750 of the family's 1533-position model. The record is from RNAcentral. Lineage: Bacteria; Bacillati; Actinomycetota; Actinomycetes; Mycobacteriales; Gordoniaceae.
CACUCUGAGAUAAGCCUGGGAAACUGGGUCUAAUACCGGAUAUGACCAACUGUCGCAUGGUGGUUGGUGGAAAGCUUUUGCGGUGUGGGAUGGGCCCGCGGCCUAUCAGCUUGUUGGUGGGGUAAUGGCCUACCAAGGCGACGCCGGGUAGCCGACCUGAGAGGGUGAUCGGCCACACUGGGACUGAGACACGGCCCACACUCCUACGGGAGGCAGCAGUGGGGAAUAUUGCACAAUGGGCGCACGCCUGAUGCAGCGACGCCGCGUGAGGAAUGACGCCCUUCGGGUUGUAAACCUCUUUCACCAGGGACGAAGCGGAAGUGACGGUACCUGGAGAAGAAGCACCGGCCAACUACGUGCCAGCAGCCGCGGUAAUACGUAGGGUGCGAGCGUUGUCCGGAAUUACUGGGCGUAAAGAGCUCGUAGGCGGUUUGUCGCGUCGCCUGUGAAAUUCUGCAACUCAAUUGCAGCCGUGCAGGCAAUACGGGCAGACUUGAGUCCUACGGGGGAGACUGGAAUUCCUGGUGUAGCGGUGAAAUCCGCAGAUAUCAGGAGGAACACCGGUGGCGAAGCGGGCCUCUGGGUGUAACUGACGCUGAG